This 257-nucleotide long non-coding RNA is filed under the name Elaeis guineensis (African oil palm). RNAcentral's name for it is "long non-coding RNA (EGUI_LNC014918)". The record is from RNAcentral. Lineage: Eukaryota; Viridiplantae; Streptophyta; Magnoliopsida; Arecales; Arecaceae.
UGCAUGCAUAGUUGCUUUUCUAAGCUUAUCUCAUAUAAUCUUCGUUGUAGGAAAUUCCUACACCCUGGCUAUGUGCCAAAUGGCUGCCAAUUUAGGUCUUAUCAUUUAAUUGAAAGGAUAGUUGAUUCCAAGUGGAGAGGGAAUUCUAGUGGCUAUGUCUCUAUUCUGUAAGAUUGAAAGUGGGAAAAGAAUCUCGAAGAUGAAUUUAUCAAGCAUUGCAACCAAAAUUAGUUUAGCGAACCCAAAAAUUGUAGGAG